GGGUGGAAGGCAAGUUGGUAGGGCGUAUGGCUACCAACCUGAAGGUGUGGGUUCAAUUCCCACCCUUCGUACA
This is a non-coding RNA of Massospora cicadina, 73 nucleotides long. NCBI's taxonomy places the organism in Eukaryota, Fungi, Entomophthoromycota, Entomophthoromycetes, Entomophthorales, Entomophthoraceae. The record is from the annotation of a GenBank genome assembly.